Non-coding RNA from Coturnix japonica (Japanese quail), 1233 nucleotides. The record is from RefSeq and is a predicted model, not a curated record. NCBI's taxonomy places the organism in Eukaryota, Metazoa, Chordata, Aves, Galliformes, Phasianidae.
CGGAGCUGUGGCGGCGGGCUGUGCGGAAGCUGUGCGGAGCUGUGCGGAGGUGUACGGAGCUGUGCGGGGCUGUGCGGGGCUGUGCGGAGCUGUACGGGGCUGUACGGAGCUGUACGGAGCUGUGCGGGGCUGUGCGGAGCUGAGCGCGGGCCGUGAUGGCGCGAUGCCGCUCGGAGCUGCCCAAGUGGCUGCGCCGUGUUUGGGUGACCGCUACAAACCGCACGGCUGCCAGGGCGGCUUCACCGGCUGCUCGUGAGCUGCAGCACCCGGAGCUGCUGGCGGGGAGCACGGCCGGCAUGUAACAACGUUGGGUCCAGCUAUCCACAGCUCCUGGAGAAACGAGACGCUGGGAAAUAGGAGCGUGGCAGGACCUCUGAGCCGUCUCAGCACCGCCUGCAGCACCGGGGCCCCGUGCUGAGCGCAGGCCGGGCUGGCGGACUGUGUGGGGUAUCCACCUACCGCCAACCCACCUCCCUCAGUACAACUCCUGAAUGGUUCCCAACACUGCAGGGACGGUGACUCCACCACCUCCUCGUGCAGCCCGUUCCGCUGCCUGACCACUCUUUGGAGAAGACGUUAUUCCUAACAUCCAGCCUGAACCCCCCUGGAGCAACUUGAGGCCAUUCCCUCCAGUCCUGUCACUAGUUAUGCAGGAGCAGAGGCCGACACCACCCCUCCCCCCCUACCAGCCACAUCCUCCCUUUAGGUAGUUGUAGAGAGCAAUGAGGUCCCCCCUGAGCCUUCUCAUUUCCAGACUGAACAAUGCCAGCUCCCUCAGCUUAUGGUGAGCAUGGGGACACCCGCUCUGCCCGUGCUGGAGGUUUCCACUGGGGCUGCUCAGCUCUGCAAGGAACCGACCAUUUGGGAAUGUGUGGCUGUUUCAGGGCUGGGGAUGGAUCCUUCUCUGGGGACACCUCCAGUUGCUCAGCUGUGAACCCCCAGUGAUUGCAGCCACAGCAGCCCCAAGGAGCAGCCCUGAGCACGGCACCUGGGGAUGUGGGGAAGCUGUACCCAGGGCACAGGACUGAGACAGUCUGAGGUGCUGGGAACUGCAGCCAACACGGCCUUCCAGCAGCAAAGGAGUUUACCUACAGCAAACAAUGAAGAGCACUCAGAAAAUGCUGAACAUCAGGUGGUGACCUCACUUGACAUAAAUCUGGGUGUUAAAUUUACACUUCUCUGAAAAGAAAAAAAGAAAAUAAUAAUAAAAAAGACUUUAUUUGCAAAGAUGAA